CCUUGGGUUCCUUCCAGCCCAGGCAAAGCAGAAUUAUUAUGCAAAGAGAGACAUGCCAGAAUCACGUGCUACACAUUACAGGUAGGCGAAUGAGAGUAAAUUAUCUUGUUUUCUACAAAUCAUCCUCACCCACUAAAUAUCCCUUAGCCAUUCCAGAAUGUACAGUAAUCUGCCCCACUGAAUGCAUCCUGUCUAAUCUCCCAAAAAAUAAAAUUGCCUGGAAUUGAGUUUGGGCACAUUUGGUUCAAGAAUGCUGCAGCUUCACUAGGUUGGAGCUGAGCACGUGCUCUUCUAAAAUUUAUAGUGUAAUUGAUUUUUUUAUAAGCUAUUCAGGCCUUAUUAUUUAUUAAUCUACCUGUCAAGGUUAAUUUAAACUACUUCUCAAUAAGGCAGUUUGACAACACCUUUGUUUUCCAGAUUGACAGCCCUGGUGAAUAAAGAGAUGGCACAGCGAUCCCUCUGCCCUUAACAGACACCUCUGGGAAGGAACCUCCAGCAGGGCAGUGCGUUACCCCGCCCUCAUUAGGAAAUGCAAGAGGCCUCCCAUCCUACUGAGUGGGGAUAGAAUCCAAAGGUUACCCUUUUGUUUCCAAGUAGGUUGUAGGCCCCAGGACUUGCACCAGCCACCAAGUGACAACUGAGUCCUAUAAUCUGAACAAAGCCCUUCAGUGGUUCCCACAGAACCACUGAAUGAUUUCAAUCAUGUGGGCUUGAAAUGCACAGAGUCAAGUUCAAAGUCCUCGAUGCCCUGGCCCCUGCCUACUGCUCCAGCCUCAUCUCCCAUCACCCCUUCUCUGUCACCUUUUACUUUAUGCCCCAACAUUAUCACUCAGUGUGCUGUUCCUUGCCAUCUGCGUCUUUGUAAUGCUGUUCCCUCUUCCUAGAUCCUGGUCAUCAUCAAAACUCCAGUACGAAUGCAGUCACUGCCAUUUGCUGUCCUGACUACUCCCAAGAGGUGGAUCAUGUUCUGCCUCAGAUUUAUGUUCCUGAAAUCCAUGUAUAUUGAGUUGGUAAGCAACAAAUACUUGUCAAGUGUGGACUGUGGGACACAUAUAGUGCUGAGACCUAAGGAUACAACAGAGAACUAGAGAAAACUUGUACCUGACCUCCCACAACUUAUGUCCACACUGUGAGCUCCUUCAAGAUAGUUGUUCUAAUGCACUUCCCAGCAUGGUGCUGAUGGAAGUACAAGGAGACAAGGCGAGAUGAGCAAACUGGAGUUCAAAGAAGUGAAACAGCUUGCCAAUGUUUACUCAACCCAUUUGUGGUGAGUCCAGUCUCCAAACACAGGACCGAUUCCAAAGCCUCAACUCUAGUUCCACACUGUACUGCUCUCCUGGCACAGAGUUCGGACUUGUUGAAUAAAUCCCUGAUAUGCACCAAGUCAAA
RNAcentral lists this long non-coding RNA (1389 nucleotides) under Homo sapiens (human). RNAcentral's name for it is "non-protein coding lnc-B3GNT10-22:1". The record is from RNAcentral. Lineage: Eukaryota; Metazoa; Chordata; Mammalia; Primates; Hominidae.